UCUUAUUCCUUCUUUUUCGUGGUUGCAAAUCUGUCCUUUUCAAAGCUUGUCCCCCAUUGCUGCUUGGAGUCCUGCCACUGCUCGUUCGGUAUAUGCAAAAAUGCACUCCUUACCCUCUCCCUUGUAAAACUGGUGAUACAGACUGUACAUGUUGUUUGCUGUCAUUGGUGUUUUUUUAAGAUUUAGAUCUGAGAAUUUUCAUGGUAUUUUCUGAGCAUAUGUGCAAGUCAGUUAUGAUGGUACUUCUAAUUUGAAGGUAUGUCCAUGCCCCCACUGAUUUGUUUUUUGUUGUGACUGGUGCUAGGCAAGUAUUCAUGGCAAAGGAGAUGGAGACGAAGGAAAUCGUGGCAGUCAAGAAGAUCCGCAUGGACAACGAGCGAGAUGAUUUCCCUAUCACGGCCAUCAGGGAGAUUAAAAUCCUCAAGAAGCUGCAUCACCAGAACAUCGUCAAUCUCGAAAAGGUCGUCACCUCGCCAGGUGAAGUAAUAAAGUGUUCGGGUCAAUGCAUCAAGAGUCCGACGGAAGGGUAAAAUGUUGUUUUACCACUGUUCGGGAAUUGGCUCAUGGAGAUGACAGAGCAACAGAGCAAGAAGAAAGAAAAAUGAAAAUAAAGAGGGCAAAGGCAUUAUAUAGGUGACUUGCGUAAAACUGCCUCAGAAGAUGUAUACAUAGCGAAGUACCAUUAUAUACUUGGGGGCUCUUUUCUGUACUAGCAUCGGCCUUUGACCUCAUGAUAACAAAAUGCUAUAAGCUAGCUGGCCCACUUGGUUUAUUUUUUGAAUGCAUUUUUCUUCAUGUAGCUAUUUGAAAAAAAAUAUGGAUUACAGACCAUAAUAUUUCUCCAAAAAUAGAUUGUCCAGGAGAACAAGCAUGCUGAAUAUGUAGGACCAAUAGAUGGUUCAAUGGUUGAACAUUAAAAUUCUUCAGCCAUCUAUUUCUGAGGUAAAAUUUGCAUUUGUGUGCUGCUAUUUGGUUCAUUGCUGAUUUCUUUUGUGCCCAGCUGAAUCAUGUUCACUUCAGGAAUGUUGUAACUAGCUCUAGCACGACCAACCAAUGACUUUGCGCUGAUCUAAAGAGGUAGCCCAGUUUAAUUCAUGACAAUAGUUGCAUUCUCUGAUCUAAAGCUUCAUGGAGGCUGAUCUGCCAUUUCAUAGCUCUGAAUUGCUUAAAAAAAUGAAUCUGGCACUUGUGCUGCUGAUUGCUUGAUUGGUUUUUAUUUUACCAAUUUCACCACUUCACCGAAGGCUUACUGUUUUAUACUCCGAUAAACUUAAAAAUUAUACAGAGAUACGGAACAAUUCAAGGCAGCAUAAUUUUACCAUUUCAACCAUGGUGCCGGUGUUUCAAAAAUGGGAACUUUUGGUAACUAGAUGUCAUUGUCCUCAAUUUUACCAUUUCUUAUUUGUUCCCAAUGUUUGCAGAGGCAAUCCAUGUGAAGGAUAUUGAACAAUCAAAUUUGCAGGAGAAAAAAAUCAGAGCUGAGUUAUGCUUUCGAAUGGAUGAUAUAUCCACAAGGAACUAGCAAACACACAAGAGAAGCCAGGAGUUGGAGGAGAAAGCAAAAAGAAUAAACCUGCAAAUUGUGUCGUUGUUUUUCAUGGAUGGCUUAACCAAAGGGAAAGUAACAUGAGUGUUGCGCAUCCCACUUUUCUAUUUCCAUUUAAGCAGUGAGAUUUUGAUCUGGAUGUUGCUGCUUAAUGCGCCAUGCUUCAUUUUCACUGUCAAUAUUUCUCAUUUUGGACUAUAGAUAGAUCAUGUCUUUUGUA
Molecule: long non-coding RNA, 1766 nt
Organism: Panicum virgatum (switchgrass)
Lineage: Eukaryota; Viridiplantae; Streptophyta; Magnoliopsida; Poales; Poaceae
Exons: 5
Source: RefSeq, a predicted model, not a curated record